RNAcentral lists this ribosomal RNA (420 nucleotides) under uncultured Anaerosporobacter sp. Its description in RNAcentral is "bacterial SSU rRNA". It matches the Rfam family "Bacterial small subunit ribosomal RNA", at positions 356 to 792 of the family's 1533-position model. The record is from RNAcentral. Lineage: Bacteria; Bacillati; Bacillota; Clostridia; Lachnospirales; Lachnospiraceae.
GGGGAAUAUUGCACAAUGGGGGGAAACCCUGAUGCAGCGACGCCGCGUGAGUGAAGAAGUAUUUCGGUAUGUAAAGCUCUAUCAGCAGGGAAGAUAAUGACGGUACCUGACUAAGAAGCACCGGCUAAAUACGUGCCAGCAGCCGCGGUAAUACGUAUGGAGCAAGCGUUAUCCGGAUUUACUGGGUGUAAAGGGAGUGUAGGUGGUAUCACGAGUCAGAAGUGAAAGCCCGGGGCUCAACCCCGGGACUGCUUUUGAAACUGUGGAACUGGAGUGCAGGAGAGGUAAGUGGAAUUCCUAGUGUAGCGGUGAAAUGCGUAGAUAUUAGGAGGAACACCAGUGGCGAAGGCGGCUUACUGGACUGUAACUGACACUGAGGCUCGAAAGCGUGGGGAGCAAACAGGAUUAGAUACCCUGGUA